This 443-nucleotide ribosomal RNA is filed under the name uncultured Bdellovibrio sp. RNAcentral's name for it is "bacterial SSU rRNA". It matches the Rfam family "Bacterial small subunit ribosomal RNA", at positions 338 to 795 of the family's 1533-position model. The record is from RNAcentral. Lineage: Bacteria; Pseudomonadati; Bdellovibrionota; Bdellovibrionia; Bdellovibrionales; Pseudobdellovibrionaceae.
CCUACGGGAGGCAGCAGUAGGGAAUAUUGCACAAUGGAGGAAACUCUGAUGCAGCGACGCCGCGUGAGUGAUGAAGGCCUUCGGGUAGUAAAGCUCUGUCGCAGGGGAAUAACACAAUGAAUGUACCCUGUAAGAAAGGAUCGGCUAACUUCGUGCCAGCAGCCGCGGUAAGACGAGGGAUCCUAGCGUUGUUCGGAAUUAUUGGGCGUAAAGCGGGUGUAGGUGGCUUUGUAAGUCAGGUGUGAAAGCCUAGGGCUCAACCCUAGAAGUGCAUUUGAUACUGCGAAGCUUGAGUGUUGGAGAGGAUAGUAGAAUUGUUGGUGUAGUGGUAAAAUACGUAGAUAUCAACAGGAAUACCGGAGGCGAAGGCGGCUAUCUGGCCAAACACUGACACUGAGAUCCGAAAGCGUGGGGAUCAAACAGGAUUAGAUACCCCGGUAGUC